This 433-nucleotide ribosomal RNA is filed under the name uncultured bacterium. RNAcentral's name for it is "partial 16S ribosomal RNA". It matches the Rfam family "Bacterial small subunit ribosomal RNA", at positions 29 to 507 of the family's 1533-position model. The record is from RNAcentral.
AACGAACGCUGGCGGCAUGCCUAACACAUGCAAGUCGAACGAAGGCUUCGGCCUUAGUGGCGCACGGGUGCGUAACGCGUGGGAAUCUGCCCUUUGGUUCGGAAUAACAGCUGGAAACGGCUGCUAAUACCGGAUGAUGACGAAAGUCCAAAGAUUUAUCGCCAGAGGAUGAGCCCGCGUUGGAUUAGGUAGUUGGUGGGGUAAAGGCCUACCAAGCCGACGAUCCAUAGCUGGUCUGAGAGGAUGAUCAGCCACACUGGGACUGAGACACGGCCCAGACUCCUACGCGAGGCAGCAGUGGAGAAUAUUGGACAAUGGGCGCAAGACUGAUCCAGCAAUGCCGCGUGAGUGAUGAAGGCCCUAGGGUUGUAAAGCUCUUUUACCCGGGAAGAUAAUGACUGUACCGGGAGAAUAAGCCCCGGCUAACUCCGUG